This 229-nucleotide long non-coding RNA is filed under the name Lathyrus oleraceus (garden pea). RNAcentral's name for it is "Pisum sativum (pea) long non-coding RNA (PSAT_LNC039350)". The record is from RNAcentral. Lineage: Eukaryota; Viridiplantae; Streptophyta; Magnoliopsida; Fabales; Fabaceae.
CUAUUUCUGAUUAGGAAUCUUAAUUCUAAUCUCAAUAUUAAUUCUAUUUUAGAAUUAUUAAACCUAAUUAACUAGGCCCACCUAAUUGCCGUUUAACAUGUUUUUGAAUGUAAUUAAAAAAAUUCUAAAAUAAAAUAUAAAAAUAAAUAAAAAAUAAAUAAAUCUCUGCCAGGGGUGUGAAAAAUGAAAGAAUGUGUGUGGCUAAAAUAUGGGCGCAUGACCAUAACUU